Molecule: ribosomal RNA, 432 nt
Filed under: Ischnocnema aff. guentheri 3 MG-2013
Lineage: Eukaryota; Metazoa; Chordata; Amphibia; Anura; Brachycephalidae
Description: partial 16S ribosomal RNA
Rfam family: Bacterial large subunit ribosomal RNA
Source: RNAcentral
GAGGUCCAACCUGCCCAGUGAUAUCAAUUCAACGGCCGCGGUAUACUAACCGCGCUAAGGUAGCGCAAUCACUUGUCUCUUAAAUAGGGACUAGUAUGAAAGGACCCACGAGAAUCUAACUGUCUCCUUUUUUUAAUCCGUGAAACUAAUCUCCCCGUGAAGAAGCGAGGAUCAUAAUAUAAGACGAGAAGACCCUAUGGAGCUUAAGAUAAUACAAUAAUUUCUUUUUCCCCCCCUUUUCCAGAAAGAUACCUCCCCAAAGCACUUUAUUGUUAAACUUCGGUUGGGGCGACCGCGGAGUAAAACUAACCCUCCACGCAAGUGGUAAUCCCCCCACAACAAAGAGCUACAACUCUAUGAACCAAAAAUUGUUAAUUGACCCAAUAUUUGAUCAACGAAACAAGUUACCCUAGGGAUAACAGCGCAGUGGGG